CCGAACCUCUUCGGGAGACUACUUCUCGCGGUAUCUGACUCCUAGGCUCCGCCCUCUGCACGCCGCUCACGGUAUCUGACGCUCAGGCUCCGCCCCCUGCAUGUCUUUGUUGGCAAACAGUUCUGGGGGUCGUCCGAUCCUGCAGGCUGGGAAGUUCAAGCACAUGGCUCUAGCUUCUGGUGAGAGGUUUCAGGCUGCGUCAUAAUAUGGCAGAGAAGAUCAAUGGGUAAAUGGACAUGUGUGAAGAAAGGCAAAACCAGAGACCGUCCAGGCUGGACUUGAACUCCUUCCUCGGCUGAAGUGAUCCUCCUGCCUCAGCGUCCUGAAUAGGAAGUGGAGCCAGAAUCCACAGAUGUCAUUAUCCAUCUGCACACUUUGUUUACUACCCAGAAGGCAAGAAUAUUGCAUUUUAAAAGUGCCCGGACUUUUGUUCUUUCUUAUCACAAAUGACUUGGGAAGCUCCGACCACUCAUGUUUACCCCGAGUGAAAGUCCCAUUCAAAGCCUUGCUUCCUGGAGAGCUUUGAGAUUCUGGUACAAAAGGCAUUUUAUAAGCACAAAGUGGAAAAGCAUCAUUCAUAUUCAUUUGCUGCUGCGGCAUUUCUCCCUGGAAUCUUCCUCUUGUCUGUCAACAUUGGGCAAAAGGACUGGCCUCAUCUACAUUACAGAUAUCCUUGUGAUGGUCUGGAGGGACCUGUGGGAGAGGCGGCCAUCCAGAGGGCUCUCUGAGGGGUCAUUUAGAAUGCAACUCUUCUGGGCAGAGGAUGGUCUGCACUGGCCUCCACCACGCAGGAAGGCUUCCAGAGUGGAGAAAUGUCCACUAACAUGGCUUCUGUGAGGUGUGGGCAGCUCUUUUCUUGGUGUGGGGCUCUGUUUGGUGUGAUGUAAGAGGUAUCACAGGGCUUUCCUGUCCCAGAAGAUCUUAGUGGAUGACACCUAUGGGGGUUGCCAGCUGGAUUAGGUGAGGCAGAGCACACAGCUCUACCUAAGGGGUCCCAUUCUCAUCUGGGAAUAUUCUAGGACAUAGGACACUACCCAAGAGGCAGAGCCUGGAGUGGCAUUAUACGGGUGAAAGAUCUGAGUGCCAGGUCCAUAUAAAUGAGUGGGGUUGGGGGGAUCGAGGUGCUUAGAGAACAGGAGAGCUGCCACAGGAAGGGAUGGUACCCACAGGGAGGAAGAACCAUGUCUCAGAUUCCUUCCUUUAUACCUCUUCCUGGGACCUCCUUGGAGUCUGCAGAUCAGCUGGUGCUUCUCCAUCUCCUGUCAUCUUCUUCAAAUCUUUUCAUCACAAAAAAUUUUCAGUGUAAACCUAAGUAGAGAGAACAGUAAAAGGAACCCCCAGGGGCCGUCACCAUCACCCACCAUCAACAGCGAUCAAUGGGCCGUCUAAGUCCGUUUUCCCUACUUUCAUCCCCGCUCCAGAUUAUUAUCAAAAGUAGCUCAUCCCUAGUUAUAUUUCAUUUAAUCCUCUCAGUUGCAUUUUUUUCUGGCCACGUUCUUCUGUCUGUCAAUCAUGGUCUUAAGUCAGACAGUCUGCUGGGUUGGCUAGGAAAAGACUCUUUCUUUCUCAAGAAAGAGUUGUAAGUAAUUUUGAGAGAAAUGUUGCAGAUUGACCAAACAAGGUAUGCUUAAUUUAGUUCAAUUCAUCAGUUACUUAUUGAGUCCUAGGCUUAGUGCUGGAUUCAACAUAUCAGUCAAUCAUGGUUUCUGGCCUACAGGGUUCAGUGCUCUAGUUCUGGGUGUGCGACGAGGACCACAGCAAGUAUUCACUCAGGAAAGGCAGAAUGUGGCCACAGGGAAAGGAAAGGUACAAGGUGUGGUGGAGGUUACAAGGCAUGACAAACACACUGGGCUGGGAAUGGUAACAGUGGAAGAGGAUCAGGAAGGGUCGUGAAGCCUGAGGCAUUGGAGAGGGACUUGGAAACCUGGGCAGACAGUGGGACGGUGACUGCAAAACACUCAAGUGUGCAGGUGGGAAUGGCAGUGGGGGACAGGCGAGCCUAGCAGCGAGAACACAUGGUGCAAGGGGCCCCAUGGGGGUUCUGGGGUGGAGGAGGUAGGCAAUUGGGCUCUCAAAGAAACCCUUGGGCUUUUUCUAGCUUAAUAAUAAACAAUUAUUAUUUCUAAGGAAAAAGAAAACUGGAUUUCUAGAAGCAUGGCUAUUAAAAAAAAAACAACUCCAGACCCCAAUUAGGAAACUGAAAGGAAAUCAAAGUGGGCCUAAUGGAAAUUAGGUAGUAGGGGCAAUAAAAGAAAAUGCAGGUAGCUGCCUAAAAUCCAGUGGACUCCAGGUCCACCAGCCAGGCACCACAUUGUUUUAACCUAUAAAUGAAGUAUGUCCAUGACUCUCACUACAUAAAAUGGAAGUUAAGCCAUAGUCCUUUUCCAAUGUGAUCUGAAAAUGUACUGUUUUUGCCUCUAGCAAAGCAAAUAUAUAGACAGAAAAUUCCUAGCACUGCUUUCACGCGAGGGAUGACAAAGGUGACAGACUCGGGCAAAAUGUUCAUAUUCUAUACGUGAAAUGGAAUGGUAACUUGAUUUUUCAAAAGGAUAAGAUUCUUGUUACAAAUUUAAGCAUAUUUAUUAAAGAAAACUCAAAUU
Long non-coding RNA from Homo sapiens (human), 2600 nucleotides. Ensembl annotates it as EDRF1 divergent transcript. Its record names the gene EDRF1-DT. The record is from Ensembl. Lineage: Eukaryota; Metazoa; Chordata; Mammalia; Primates; Hominidae.